UACGUGGGGGGGAAGCGUUGUUCGGAAUUACUGGGCGUAAAGGGCUCGUAGGCGGUUUGUCGCGUCGGCCGUGAAAACUUGGGGCUUAACCCCAAGCUUGCGGUCGAUACGGGCAGACUUGAGUUCGGCAGGGGAGACUGGAAUUCCUGGUGUAGCGGUGAAAUGCGCAGAUAUCAGGAGGAACACCCGUGGCGAAAGCGGCUCUCUGGAACGGUACUGACGCUGAGACGCGAAAGCGUGGGGAGCGAACAGG
This 253-nucleotide ribosomal RNA is filed under the name uncultured bacterium. RNAcentral's name for it is "partial 16S ribosomal RNA". It matches the Rfam family "Bacterial small subunit ribosomal RNA", at positions 524 to 776 of the family's 1533-position model. The record is from RNAcentral.